RNAcentral lists this transfer RNA (87 nucleotides) under Actinomycetes bacterium. RNAcentral's name for it is "Actinobacteria bacterium tRNA-Ser". It matches the Rfam family "tRNA". Rfam says of the family: Transfer RNA (tRNA) molecules are approximately 80 nucleotides in length. Their secondary structure includes four short double-helical elements and three loops (D, anti-codon, and T loops). RNAcentral also lists the same sequence under 1 other name. The record is from RNAcentral. Lineage: Bacteria; Bacillati; Actinomycetota; Actinomycetes.
GGGGGGAUGACCGAGCGGACGAAGGUGACGGUCUUGAAAACCGUUAGGGGCGCAAGUCCCUCCAGGGUUCGAAUCCCUGUCCCCCCG